UGCCGUGCUAGAUGGGGAGUUAGCGGUGCCCUGUAACCUGCAAUCCGCUACAGCAGGAUCGAAGUCCUCAUAGAGGCUCUAACUUGUGGAGUCUGCCCUAUGUAAGUGGUGUUGAGAGUUGGGCCCCACGCAAUGGAAACCUGUGAACCUCGUCAGGUCCGGAAGGAAGCAGCGAUAAGCAGUCAUUUUCAUGUGCCGUGGAUACGUCUGGCUUGAGCUAACUGCAUAGGUAACGUUCAUAAGUUAUUGUCGAAGUGAGGUGCACGGUU
Molecule: signal recognition particle RNA, 269 nt
Filed under: Clostridium perfringens
Lineage: Bacteria; Bacillati; Bacillota; Clostridia; Eubacteriales; Clostridiaceae
Description: small cytoplasmic RNA
Rfam family: Bacterial large signal recognition particle RNA
About the family: The signal recognition particle (SRP) is a universally conserved ribonucleoprotein involved in the co-translational targeting of proteins to membranes. Archaeal SRP consists of a 7S RNA and homologues of the eukaryotic SRP19 and SRP54 proteins.
Source: RNAcentral